Non-coding RNA from Rattus norvegicus (Norway rat), 688 nucleotides. Lineage: Eukaryota; Metazoa; Chordata; Mammalia; Rodentia; Muridae. The record is from RefSeq and is a predicted model, not a curated record.
ACCUUCCAGGCGCUAGCUCCGCCCCAGCCGUAAAUCCUCCCACUUCCGGCUCUAUGCUUGGAAAGCUGGAUAUUACGUCUGCAGCCUCUAGGCAGCUGUUGCGGUGGACAAACGUUAGUCCUUUGAGGCAGUCUUAGAUGGAGACCUUUAGCCAGUCAGCCCAGUAGCACAUCGCAUCUCUUGCCCCAGUGAUGCCUCCUGAGUGUUAUAGCAUGGACCUGUAAUCCCAGUGCAUCAAGAAGCAUUGGCAGAGACACAUCAGAAGAGAUCUGGGACCUUACCAGCUUCUCCUGUACUCAGACGCCCUAACUGCCGUCAUCUGUGUACUGAGCUAAUAGUGCCCUGAGGUAAGCCAGCUGGCUGGAACCUGUUUCCAGGUCCAUUCUUGCUAGUCUUGCUGCCCUGGGACUGUGUCCCAUUCUUCCUUCAUUCUGAAAUAAUUCUUAGAAGGACAUGUCCAUGUACCUGACACCACACUUCCUGUUCCAAAGAAGCCUGUGACCCCGUACUUUAGAACAGGUUCUCCUUGUCAGUAAACUGGACUAAAUCUAGUUGUGUGUUUUGUAGGUAGAACAAUUCUCUCAUGUUUCAUAUUUGAUAUAUGCUUUAGUAUGAAAUAGCAUUUUGGAAAUAUGUUACAUAAUGUCAAUGAUAAUAAUAAAUCACUUUUUGUUCUUUUCUUGUGAUA